GUGGGGAAUAUUGGACAAUGGGCGAAAGCCUGAUCCAGCAACGCCGCGUGAGGGAUGACGGCCUUCGGGUUGUAAACCUCUUUCAGCAGGGACGAAGCGAAAGUGACGGUACCUGCAGAAGAAGGACCGGCCAACUACGUGCCAGCAGCCGCGGUAAUACGUAGGGUCCGAGCGUUGUCCGGAAUUAUUGGGCGUAAAGGGCUCGUAGGCGGUCUGUCGCGUCGGGAGUGAAAACUCAGGGCUCAACCCUGAGCGUGCUUCCGAUACGGGCAGACUAGAGGUAUGCAGGGGAGAACGGAAUUCCUGGUGUAGCGGUGGAAUGCGCAGAUAUCAGGAGGAACACCGGUGGCGAAGGCGGUUCUCUGGGCAUUACCUGACGCUGAGGAGCGAAAGCAUGGGGAGCGAACAGGAUUAGAUACCCGAGUAGUCC
RNAcentral lists this ribosomal RNA (430 nucleotides) under uncultured bacterium. RNAcentral describes it as "partial 16S ribosomal RNA". It matches the Rfam family "Bacterial small subunit ribosomal RNA", at positions 354 to 796 of the family's 1533-position model. The record is from RNAcentral.